RNAcentral lists this ribosomal RNA (253 nucleotides) under uncultured bacterium. Its description in RNAcentral is "partial 16S ribosomal RNA". It matches the Rfam family "Bacterial small subunit ribosomal RNA", at positions 524 to 776 of the family's 1533-position model. The record is from RNAcentral.
UACGUAGGGUGCAAGCGUUGUCCGGAAUUAUUGGGCGUAAAGAGCUCGUAGGCGGUCUGUCACGUCGGAUGUGAAAAUCCAGGGCUUAACCCUGGACCUGCAUUCGAUACGGGCAGACUAGAGUUCGGUAGGGGAGACUGGAAUUCUCGGUGUAGCGGUGAAAUGCGUAGAUAUCGAGAGGAACACCUGCGGCGAAGGCGGGUUGCUGGGCUGACACUGACGCUGAGGCGCGAAAGCCAGGGGAGCGAACGGG